RNAcentral lists this ribosomal RNA (498 nucleotides) under uncultured bacterium. RNAcentral's name for it is "partial 16S ribosomal RNA". It matches the Rfam family "Bacterial small subunit ribosomal RNA", at positions 29 to 523 of the family's 1533-position model. The record is from RNAcentral.
AUUGAACGCUGGCGGCAUGCCUUACACAUGCAAGUCGAACGGUAACGCGGGGCAACCUGGCGACGAGUGGCGAACGGGUGAGUAAUGUAUCGGAACGUGCCCAGUUGUGGGGGAUAACUGCUCGAAAGAGCAGCUAAUACCGCAUACGACCUGAGGGUGAAAGCGGGGGAUCGCAGGACCUCGCGCAAUUGGAGCGGCCGAUAUCAGAUUAGGUAGUUGGUGAGGUAAAGGCUCACCAAGCCGACGAUCUGUAGCUGGUCUGAGAGGACGACCAGCCACACUGGGACUGAGACACGGCCCAGACUCCUACGGGAGGCAGCAGUGGGGAAUUUUGGACAAUGGACGCAAGUCUGAUCCAGCCAUGCCGCGUGCGGGAAGAAGGCCUUCGGGUUGUAAACCGCUUUUGUCAGGGAAGAAACGCUCUGGGUUAAUACCUCGGGGUAAUGACGGUACCUGAAGAAUAAGCACCGGCUAACUACGUGCCAGCCGCCGCAGUAA